Regulatory RNA element from Leptolinea tardivitalis, 153 nucleotides. It matches the Rfam family "Ribosomal protein L10 leader". From Rfam's summary of the family: This family is a putative r-protein leader autoregulatory structure found in B. subtilis and other low-GC Gram-positive bacteria. It is located in the 5' untranslated regions of mRNAs encoding ribosomal proteins L10 and L12 (rplJ-rplL). The record is from Rfam. NCBI's taxonomy places the organism in Bacteria, Bacillati, Chloroflexota, Anaerolineae, Anaerolineales, Anaerolineaceae.
AGAUCGAAUAUUUCUUCACCGCAGAAAGUUGGUGCCGCUUGGCGGCUUAAUAUCCGGCCGAGGUGGAGACAUUCACAAGCCAGAGAAAUCUGUCUAUUUGAAUUGAAUGUCUUUACCGGAGCACUAUACGGUAAAGACUUUUUUAUUCUGAGA